AACGAACGCUGGCGGCAGGCUUAACACAUGCAAGUCGAACGGGUGUAGCAAUACAUCAGUGGCAGACGGGUGAGUAACACGUGGGAACCUUCCUGGGGGUACGGAACAACUCAGGGAAACUUGAGCUAAUACCGUAUACGUCCGUAAGGAGAAAGAUUCAUCGCCCCUAGACGGGCCCGCGUCGGAUUAGGUAGUUGGUGGGGUAACGGCCUACCAAGCCUACGAUCCGUAGCUGAUCUGAGAGGAUGAUCAGCCACACUGGGACUGAGACACGGCCCAGACUCCUACGGGAGGCAGCAGUGGGGAAUCUUGGACAAUGGGCGCAAGCCUGAUCCAGCCAUGCCGCGUGAGUGAAGAAGGCCUUAGGGUUGUAAAGCUCUUUUACCAGGGACGAUAAUGACGGUACCUGGAGAAUAAG
This 418-nucleotide ribosomal RNA is filed under the name uncultured bacterium. RNAcentral describes it as "bacterial SSU rRNA". It matches the Rfam family "Bacterial small subunit ribosomal RNA", at positions 29 to 490 of the family's 1533-position model. The record is from RNAcentral.